UUUCAUUUUUUCCUUUUUUAUAAAGUGGGUUCACUAGUUAGGUGGGUCCCCAUUGUCAGGUUAUAGUACUGGGUCCUAGCCAUCAGGGCAAUAUUCUUCAAUUUUUUAAUUUAACGCAAAUAAAUACCUAGUAUUUAAAUUGGCACACAGAACACACGAAAUACUUCAAAUAUUAUCAACCAUCAAAGCGUUACAUCAUAUAACACACAUACAAAUGUGAUCAGCAUCAAGUUUACAAUCAGAUAACAAGCUCCACAAGUGUACAAUCACAUGAGCCAGAUUCUGCUACAUCAUAUAACACACAUACAAAUAGGAGCAGCAGAAAGGGCUUCAUUACUCUCAGAACUAGCUCCAAUGAGCUAGAACUAUUCUUCCUCCGACUUCUUUGUCCUGAUGCUCACGAAGAAACAUGAAAGCCAGCAUCUGCAUGUUACAGAACAAAAUGUUUAGGAACAAAAUAUAAGUAAAUCUAACAGCAUAUUUAACAAUAAAUAACAGAAUAAUGAAGUUAAUGAGACAUUUUAGAAUCAACUUGACAGUUGACUAUAAUGUUUGCAUUGGACACAUCCAAAACUAAAAUUAUACAUAAAUGCCUAAAUUCCAAUGCCCAAUGCCUCAGUUUAGUAAACACUAAGGGUACAUAGUAAAGAUUUGACACAACCAGAACUGAAAUCAUUUACUCUAUCAAGCAACAAUGAUGCAGCACACAAGAAAAGAGAGAUGCACAACGGAGCAGCAUCGUAUAUGACACAAUAUGGACACUGCAAGCUCACCGAAGAACUUGUGGUCGCCACCGUACACAGCCGCCAUAACGCCGGUCACCUCGUUGAUCUUGUCCUUGAAGUUCUCUAACUCCAGGUUGUUCCACUGCAGCUCGGUAUUUGCUCAACCGUAUGUGUACAUGCAUCAGGGCAUACAUAAAAUAUUCAAGUCAAUAUUCUCAGCUAACUGUGAUGUAAUGAAAAUAAUUACUUAAGGACUUGGGGUAAAAAUUGAUUUUAGACAUCAAAAUUUGCAGUGCUCAUUUCAACCAUGUUCAGAUAAACUUGAGGUAAAUUAGCAGUAAUGAUAUUAGUUGCAAGCUAGGUGUGUAACUGUUGUCAACACCACCACCACCAGAGACACUCAAGAUAAGCAUCAACACCAACAUGAUCUUGAUAUUAGCCACCCCAUAUCACCAGAGCAUCAUAGGAGCAUAUAUAUAAAGCAAGUACACAUGGGCAGCUACUGACAGACCCUAGAACCGCAUGAAUUUAUCACCAGAGAGCUCCAGUAGGAGUUGAUGCUUGGUUACAACAUCUAGCAGCAACUAGUAGAGCCCCACAUCCAACCCAAAUCAUGGCCAAGGCCAUGCAGGAGCUACAUCAGAGAAGAAGGAACAGGGAGGAGCUCACCAGAGGGAGGUUGUAGCCGUAGCAGAGGCUCAGCCACACCACGGCUGCUGUGGAUGGUGACUCCAGGACAGCAGAGUAACAACAACGAUUCAGACUUGUUCCUCCAUGAGCAUGAGCUGCUGCAGAUGGAGCUCCUCCUCCUAGGCUUGUUGGCCCCAUCCUGCUCGUCACCAAUCGAUGUGCCGUCCCUGUGGUUGUGGAAUAGGAGCGCAUCAGGAAACCAAGGAAGAGAAGAUCAAAUCAUUUUUAUAUACACCCGUCUAAAUACACCCCACUAAAUACACCCAUCUAAAUACGUCCCGUGGUUAUGUUCAUAAUCAGAUCAGACAUUGAAUGAAACAAAAAUACACCCCACUGAUGAAGCCGCAAUAAUUGUCUUGGAUGUAUCCAUCACAGCAAUAAACAAGCACCAUAUUUCGCCAAAUCUCUAUUCUAUAAACAAUUUUCUCUGGACGAACUAUUCAAACCACCCAUCUAAACAAUACCGCAUCUGUCGUCACUCAAGUCAAUAAUACUCGUUGACAGGUCCACCAUCCAACACAAGGAUAAGAUACAGAAUUGGUGCAUCAUUUCAGGCAGCGCAAGCAAACUAAACAAAACAGCUUAAACCCUAGAUAAAUCUUAUGGCCGGUUGGGGGAAAGCAGAAACGGAAGAAGUACUAGAUUCAAAUUGCACAUUCAGUCAAGUUUAGUCAAUACAUGUAUGACACAGCCAUGCAUGACACAAACAAAAUAUACAGUUCAUCUCCUGAUCCACAUUACAAUCCAAGGCAAAGUACUAGUAAAUAAAAUAGUACGUACUCUGGUGACCACCGAGCUAGCUGAUUACCAGUUUACCACACUGAUUAUGACAGGAACAGAAACGAAAGGGAACUACUAAAUAAGAUAGGAACGGAAGGGUGCGGUGUUGAUUUUGAUCACCAGGAGAACAGAAGACCCGAAUCAAGGCAAACUCAUUGACUGAAGAUGAGGAAGCUAGCUAUGCAUGUAUGCAGUGUGAAUCGGCUGGCCUUAAACCACAGAGAAGAGUAGGCAUGUUAAUUAAUAAGAGUCCUAAAAGGCUAAAAUAGAGAUGGCCGUCAGAAUAAAUCCUUUCCUUGUUUCAAGAGAAAAGAAACAAAAAGAAAAGGGUGAAGUGAAAGCAUCUGCAAAAGAAAAUUCGCAUGCAUACAGUGGCGUCUGCAUCAAUCAAGAUUAUUAAAGCUUGCAGCAGAGUGAGUACGCAUGAAGGUUUAGCGCUAACAUUGCCCAGCCGACCGUCGAUCUCUCUGCAGAAACAAAAGAAGAGCUACAUCAGCAACAGCAUGCAACAUAUUUCAGGUUGAUUGGAACCAAAACAAAGCAACAUGAGAAGCAGGCAGCAUAUAACAGGCUAGACGAAAGCAACAUAUGGAUGAAUGAAAUGGAGCGUUGUGUAUAUCAAGAUGUAAUCAAAGCUGAACCCAAAUGAGAUGAUUCUGGUUAGCCAUCGAUCUCCUUUACACUUCUUAUAAGUGGGAUAGGGGAACAAACCACAAGGCUACCUACGUCCGGCCUUUGUCCGGCCUUUGUUCAGGUGAACCCAAAUAUAUGACUGAAUGUAUGAUUGAGAAUGUGCAUGUACAGUGAGACCAACAAAUAUUCCACUGAUUUCUGACAGAUAUGUGUACAUAUAUUCCAAUGUGUUUGUACAAUACUAGAGCAUAACUGAAUUUUGACAGAACACAUAUAUGAAGUGAACUUUAGCACUGAAUUCUGGCCAGUACAGCAGUAAUUUUGCACAAGCAUGUAUGAACUGAACAGACAAAUAUUAUAACUAAACCUUUGCCAAUACAUCACUUCUUCACAAAGAUAUAUGAAGUAAACUGAACACAGAUAGAUCCUAACUGAACUCUUGACAGUACAGCAACAUGAUAAGUUCUGAAGAAGAAUAGUAUAGACGAUGCUCUCUAUUUCUUCACCAUUGCACAUCAAGAACAUGGAACGGAGCUUAGACUUGCGGAUGCGGGCAGCCGGGUAACCGCACGAGGAGCAGGUGCUCUUCUGGAGGUGGAAGCUGCGACGGCCGUAGCGGAUGCAGAGCGUGUGGGAGAGAGGGCCUCUCUGGGAGGGAGGGGAGGAUCUUGGCGCAGCGGCGGGGACCUGUUGUAUCUGGUCGACGAGGUUGCAAGAUCCGAGGCGGAGCUUCUGCUGGUGGCGUCCAUGGCCUUGGCCGGAGCUCCUAUUCAUUCCCUGUGAGACAGAGAGGCCGCAAGGUGACGGAGAGGGAAGGAAAAGGCAGAGGAUGAGGAGGAGGGGAUGGGGACAAGACGAACCUCGCCAAGGACGUCGGGGAAGAGAGGGUGGAGACGCGUGCUGGGGGGUGGGUCACGCGAGGAGCACCAAAUCCGGACGCGUGCUGGGGGGUGGAGACGGUGCAACGGCCAGAGGAGCUGCUCAAUCCAGAUGGGCGACUGCGUCCCGGAUCUCACGGGAGGAGGGGCUAUGCGCCGCCCUGAUCCCGGAUUCGGCGGCCUCUAGCCUCGCCGUCGCCAUCGCCGGUGGCUGCUCUGGCUGGCGCCAUGGGUGGUGGCUGGGUCUGGAUCGGGGAGAGGGAGGUGGAGGUGGCGGCGGCAGGGAGGAGCGGAGCUCUAGGGUUCGGGCAAGAGGGAGAGAGGCUGGAUGAAUGGAUCGAUGGACGGAUGCUUUCUGCGGUGGGCUGUAUCAAUUGAUCGAUGGAUGGAUGUUUGCCACAUCACUGAUCCAUGCCACAACAGAUUCCACCAAUCAUAAUUCACCUUGCGUAGUUUUGUUUUUUCUUCUGUUUUUUAAUAUUUUGUACCCUCUUAUUCUGGGUAAACAUUCAACAUAUUACCGCUUAUAGUUUUUUCAAAUGACCCAAUAUUUUGCACAAGUGUGUAUCUUGGGACAACAAACAAUGUUGAUUUGAGGGGUUUUCAUUUUCUUUGCACAAAAAAUCAUUUUUCAAUUUUUGGAGUGCCAAUAAUCGGGUUUUUUGUGAAGGACGUACCAUAUAUUUGUUGCAAAAUUGGACCAAAUCAUUUUUCUAAAAUACUAGGUCAUUUUUAAUGCACAAUUGAUCAAAUGGUUGGGUGUCAAAAGAUUCAAGCCACCUCUCGUGAAAAAGACAAAUUUCAGCCGAUUCAGUAGGAAGUGGGUCAAAUUUGAACUGCAGCUGCCUCAUAGUUUGCUCACGAUUUUUUUCCAAAAAUCAUUUCUAGGUACAAAAGUAUCUAUUUCAUUAGAGAGACACAAAAAGUUUUCCAAGAUUCAACCACUAGCUAGGAACGGUCAUUCCCGCCGUUUUGACCGCAUUUUGAAACGGGCAUAAAAAAUUCAAAAAAUUGGGAAACCUUCGCAUUGUGUCAUUAUAUGUGGCCAAGUUCCCAGGAAAAAUAACAAACUUGUAAUACGACAAUUAUUUUAAAAAAUUGUUCUCAGAAACGAGCUAUCACGUGUGGAGAUCAAUGGCUUUCAAGCCAAAUGAUCAAUCUUAUGGCCACAUUCAUGGCAUAGUUUGUUCAAAUGAUCUCAUAUUGUGCACAAGGGUGCAUAUUGGAAUGGCAAACAAUGUUGCCUAAGUAAGUUUUCAUUUUCUUUGGACGAAAAAACCAUUUUCCAUUUUUCGAGUGCCCAAAAGGAGGUUUUUUGGUGAAGGACCUCCCAAAUAAUUGUUGCAAAAUUGGACCAAAUCAAUUUUCUAAAAUACUAGGACAUAUUUAAUGCACAAUUGACAAAAUUAUUGGGUGUAAAAAGUUUUGAUCCACCUCUCAUGAAAAAGACAAAUUUCCGCCGAUUCAGCUGGAAGCGGGUCAAAUUUAAACUGUAGCUGCCUUGUAGUUUGCUAUUUAUUUUUUCCAAAAAUCAUUUCUAGUUACAUAAGUACCUAUUAAAUCAGAGAAACACCAACAAAAAUCCAAGAUUCAACCACUAGCUAGGAACGGUCAUUCCCGCCGUUUUGACCGCAUUUUGAAACGGGCAUAAAAUAUUCAAAAAACUCAAAAAAUUGGGAAACCUUCGCAUUGUGUCAUUAUAUGUGGCCAAGUUCCCAGGAAAAAUAACAAACUUGUAAUACGGAAAUUAUUUUAAAAAAGUGUUCUCAGAAACGAGCUAUCACGUGUGGAGAUCAAUGGCUUUCAAGCCAAAUGAUCAAUCUUAUGGCCACAUUCAUGGCAUAGUUUGUUCAAAUGAUCUCAUAUUGUGCACAAGGGUGCAUAUUGGAAUGGCAAACAAUGUUGCCUAAGGAAGUUUUCAUUUUCUUUGGAGGAAAAAACCAUUUUCCAUUGUUCGAGUGCCCAAAAGGAGGUUUUUUUUGUGAAGGACCUCCCAAAUAAUUGUUGCAAAAUUGGACCAAAUCAAUUUUCAAAAAUACUAGGACAUAUUUAAUGCACAAUUGACAAAAUGGUUGGGUGUAAAAAGUUUUGAUCCACCUCUCGUGAAAAAGACAAAUUUCCGCCGAUUCAGGUGGAAGCGGGUCAAAUUUGAACUGCAGCUGCCUCAUAGUUUUCUAUUUAUUUUUUCCAAAAAUCAUUUAUAGUUACAUAAGUACCUAUUUAAUCAUAAAUACAUGGUUUGGUGCUGAUACGUCGAGGUUUGGGCGGUGGCCGAGGGCCCCAACUCUAGAGCGCGUAAACUCGCAUGCCCGCCGCGUGGUCACCGCGUGACCGUGGCGUUGCCAUGUGUUCUGGGCAGCCUAGGCAUGUCUAGUGGGUUGGGCACUCCCCAGGUAGGUGUUAGGAAGAAAAUUACAACAUAAGAUUCUCACGAGGAGACCGAUCGAUGCUCAAACAUGAAUUAGCAGCCAAGUGUUUGAUUAGCGGUACGGGAAAUGUACAUGGCUAAUGGGCGUGAGUUUUGGCUGAGGAUGAUCAAUUACUAAGAAGACCGUCUUCACAAAUUUACAGCUCAAAAGGAGGAUCCUAGGUGGUACUUGCUUUGCAAAGUACCACAUUGGACAUAAAUACGAAUGUUGAAGCUGGGCUCAAAAUAAUGAAUGGAUUGAGCUGGCAUUUGGUGGAGGAUGGUUAUUUGGGCAUAGGAAAGCACCGUAGAAAAUGGAUACUAUUUGGACAUGCCAAAGUGGUACUUCCUUCACAAAGCGUUGUUCUGAACAGAAUAGGAAAAUGAAUAUUGUUGAAUUAUUUUUGAACUAGGCAAGGAAGGUUUUUUUUACAUAUUUGACGAAGAUAUGACCCAAAGAAUUUAUGAGAUUUUUUUGGGAAUUUCGGGAAUGACAGAAAUAUAGGUUGCUUCACAACCUGGGGCAAAAAUUGCCACAUGGACAUGACACAUAGGCAAAACUGAUGAGGUGGCGCCUAGUCAUAGCAACCCACCACAAUUUACAAGGUUAUGACCAUCUAUAUUGGUCGUGAUCAGCUAGAAAUAAGGCAGCGGACCAGUGCUAUCUGCUUUAUGACCAUUUCAUGUAAGGAAAUUACGACCUUUCUGACCAAAAUGGUCGUUAUAGUUUAGGGUUUGGAGCCCCCCGAACAGCUUCUGACCAAUUGGUCUGAAAUGGUCAUAGAUCUAUGACCAAUUCUUCCAGGGUCACUGACAGAAGGUCACUAGUUGACAUAUUUCUUGUAGUGAUAGUUGGACAGCACCCGUUGUUUCGGACAAGCCGUGGAGUGUGAUUGUUGGUGGAGGGGGAGUAAAAUCUUUACCUUUCUGUUUGGGAACCGCCUAUAAUGUAUCUAGUAUGGAAGAUAUUGGGAACUCUUGGUCGUUAUGUUGACAAUGAAAGCAUACCUCUCAAAAUUAUUUUCAUCUCUGUUUUAGCUUCGAGCUCUGGCACCUCUGCAAAUCCCUGCUUCCCUCUGCGAAGGGCCUAUCGUUUACUUUUAUGCAAGAGUCAGUAGUAUUCCUUCUCAUUCCAACCUACUUUUUAGUUGGCAAGCAUCAUGUGGUGGAGAAAGAUCUAAGCAUAUAUGGCCAUUCAAAUAUAUUUGAUCAUGAAUUAUUAUUGUUGACAUUUAUCUAUAUGAUAAAUAAGUUGGGAGGCGAAACAUUAAGCCCCUAUCUUUCUCUGUGUUCAAUGGAUGCUAUUUGUUCUAAAAAUAUGCUUUGAGUGUUAGCAAUCAUGGAAGACUGUAUGAUAGUUGAGUAUGUGGGAUUUGCUAAAUCAAAUCUCUUACAUAGACCCUUCCUGAAAAUAAGAUGAAUUGCAAUUGUUUGAUGACUGAGAACAUAGUUUGUUAGUUUUCAAGAAAGUUUAUGGUCUAUGCUUUAACAUGUGAAUAGCUUGUUACUUGAUCAUGAAAAGUUUUAUGAGUUGAGCUACUGUUAUGACAUAUAAUGGUGAUUGAAAUUAUCAUUGAUCAAACUUGUGCACCUGCUAGCAUUCACACUUCAUAAAUUAUUUCUUUUAUCAUUUACCUACUCGAGGACGAGCAGGAAUUAAGCUUGAGGAUGCUGAUACGUCUCCAAUGUAUCUAUAAUUUAUGAAGUAUUCAUGCUAUUAUAUUAUCUUUUUUGGAUGUUUAUGGGCUUUACUAAACACUUUUAUAUUAUUUUUGGGACUAACCUAUUAACCGGAGGCCCAACCCAAACUAUUGUUUUCUUGCCUAUUUCAGUGUUUCGAAGAAAAGGAAUAUCAAACGGAGUCCAAACGGAAUGAAACCUUCAGGAGAGUUAUUUUUGGAACGGAAGCAAUCCAGGAGACUUGGAAUAGACGUCAGGGAAGCUUCGAGGAAGCCACGAGGCAGGGAGGCGCGUCCUACCCCCUGGGCGUGCCCCCCACCCUCGUGGGCCCCUCGUGGCUCCCCUGACCGACUUCUUCCGCGUAUAUAUAUCCAUAUACCCUAAAAACAUCGAUGAACACAAUAGAUCGGGAGUUCCGCCGCCGCAAGCCUCUGUAGCCACCAAAAACCAAUCGGGACCCUGUUCCGGCAUCCUGCCGGAGGGGGGAUCCCUCACCGGUGGCCAUGACAAGGAGGGAGUAGUUCACCCUCGGGGCUGAGGGUAUGUACCAGUAGCUACGUGUUUGAUCUCUCUCUCUCUCUCUCUCUCUCUCGUGUUCUUGAUUUGGCACGAUCUUGAUGUAUCGCGAGCUUUGCUAUUAUAGUUGGAUCUUAUGAUGUUUCUCCCCCUCUACUCUCUUGUAAUGGAUUGAGUUUUCCCUUUGAAGUUAUCUUAUCAGAUUGAGUCUUUAAGGAUUUGAGAACACUUGAUGUAUGUCUUGCAUGUGCUUAUCUGUGGUGACAAUGGGAUAUUCAUGUGAUCUACUUGAUGUAUGUUUUGGUGAUCAACUUGCGGGUUCUGUGACCUUGUGAACUUAUGCAUAGGGGUUGGCACACGUUUUCGUCUUGACUCACCGGUAGAAACUUUGGGGCACUCUUUGAUGAAGUACUUUGUGUUGGUUUGAAUAGAUGAAUCUGAGAUUGUGUGAUGCAUAUCGUAUAAUCAUACCCACGGAUACUUGAGGUGACAUUGGAGUAUCUAGGUGACAUUAGGGUUUUGGUUGAUUUGUGUCUUAAGGUGUUAUUCUAGUACGAACUCUAUGAUAGAUCGAACGGAAAGAAUAGCUUCAUGUUAUUUUACUACGGACUCUUGAAUAGAUUGAUCAGAAAGAAUUACAUUGAGGUGGUUUCGUACCCUACCAUAAUCUCCUCGUUUGUUCUCCGCUAUUAGUGACUUUGGAGUGACUCUUUGUUGCAUGUUGAGGGAUAGUUAUAUGAUCUAGUUAUGUUAUUAUUGUUGAGAGAACUUGCACUAGUGGAAGUAUGAACCCUAGGACUUGUUUCCUAGCAUUGCAAUACCGUUUACGCUCACUUUUACCACUUGCUACCUUGCUGUUUUUAUAUUUUCAGAUUACAAAAACCUAUAUCUACCAUCCAUAUUGCACUUGUAUCACCAUCUCUUCGCCGAACUAGUGCACCUAUACAAUUUACCAUUGUAUUGGGUGUGUUGGGGACACAAGAGACUCUUUGUUAUUUGGUUGCAGGGUUGUUUGAGAGAGACCAUCUUCAUCCUACGCCUCCCACGGAUUGAUAAACCUUAGGUCAUCCACUUGAGGGAAAUUUGCUACUGUCCUACAAACCUCUGUACUUGGAGGCCCAACAACGUCUACAAGAAGAAGGUUGUGUAGUAGACAUCAGCCUGCCCCAAGGACCCCUUCCCACUACCUCGCAUCGACCAGAUUAUCGAUGCAACCGCCGGACACGAUUCAUUGUGUUUCCACGACGCAUACUCCGGAUACCGUCAAAUUAAGAUGAAGGAAUCCGACUAAGCCGCAACGGUAUUCAUCACCCCGUACGGGCCUUUCUGCUUCAACACCAUGCUGAAAGUGCGUUAAGUCGACUAGAGGGGGGUGAAUAGGCGAUUUUUAUGAAUUCUUCACUGAGGAAUUUCAGGGUGAGGAAAUUCCUAAGCGAAGAACUACUUGCAGUGGAAUAAGUACUCAGAUGCAUGCAUGACAUAACGUAAGCAUGGACAUUAUGAUGAAAUUGAUACAAACACAGAGUACAGGAAGCGUAAGCACAGGAUAAAACAGGAUGAAGACAAACAGACUAAAGAAAUUGAACUGAGGAAAUUGAGAAAGUCUUCAGUCAAAGUCUUCAAACAGAUAUGAACAAGCACACACAAUAAUGAGGAAAUGGAAGGGUUGGGUAAAUAGAACCAGUUAGCUCGGUGAAGACAAUGAUUUGGUAGACCAGUACCAACUGCCGUGACAGUUGUACGUGUGGUUGGAGCGGCUAGGUAUUUAAACCUGAGGACACACAGUCCCGGACACACAGUCCUCACCGUAUUCUCCUAGAGCUAAGGUCACACAAACCUCUCCCAAUCACUCGUGGUAAGUCUUCAGGUGACAUCCAAACCUUCACAAACUCGGUCACUCGGCGAUCCACAAUUUCCUCUUGGAUGCUCUAGACCAUGACGCCUAACCGUCUGGAAGAUGCACAGUCUUCAAAGGUAACAAGCGUCGGAUCCACACAGGAACAAUUUCUUCAGUGAUGCUCAAUCACUUUGGGUUUGUAGGUGUUUGGGUUUGGGUUUUCCUCACUUGAUGAUUUUCGCUCAAACUCCUCGGAGGAUGGGAUGCUCUCAAUGACAAGUGUCAGUUUAUCUCGGAGCAGCCAUCCAGCUAGUGGUUGUAGGGGGGCGGCUAUUUAUAGCCUAGGGAGCAGCCCGACAUGAUAAGACAUAAAUGCCCUUCAAUGAUAUGACCGUUAGGUGGAUAAGAUAUUUUGGGAUAGCUGGCGCAUAGCACAGCAACGGUCGGAAAUUUGAGGUACAAAUUCCUCAGGGCUAUCAUGAUCCUCACUUGUAGGCAAUCCGCACUAGCGAAUUCCUAACUCCCCAGUCAGAACAAAUUCCUCAGAGACUAGAAGAACUUCGUCUCUGUCACUGAUGAAAUUUACUGAACUGCAUGAGAUUUCCAAUGGCUUCACUCGAAAGGAUUGGUAGGUGUAGGAUUUUGAGAUGAGCAUCA
RNAcentral lists this long non-coding RNA (10803 nucleotides) under Triticum aestivum (bread wheat). Its description in RNAcentral is "long non-coding RNA (TAES_LNC013733)". Lineage: Eukaryota; Viridiplantae; Streptophyta; Magnoliopsida; Poales; Poaceae. The record is from RNAcentral.